Molecule: non-coding RNA, 1553 nt
Organism: Megalobrama amblycephala (Wuchang bream)
Lineage: Eukaryota; Metazoa; Chordata; Actinopteri; Cypriniformes; Xenocyprididae
Source: the annotation of a RefSeq genome assembly
CACUUUGAAAAAAACCCCGAGAAGUUUUAUAAUAAAAAAUAUUUAUUAUAGGACUAUUUUUAAGCUAAUCAAUUUUGUGAUAUUGAUUAUCAUUAUACUCUUUUUCUAUUUAAUUCUGCUCUUACACCUCUUCUAGAUCAUUACUAUUUUGGUCAUGAUAAACAUUUGUAUCAUAGACGUGGACAUAUCACAAACAAUAAACAAACAUUUAAGAUUAAAUGACAAAAAUAAAAGAAUAAACAUUAGUUGCUGGCAGCAUGAAAAUAUGUAAUGUAGACUGUCCAGCUCAGCAAAUUUAAGAAGAAUGUAUCAUUCCUCAAAUUAUUAUAUAAUGAUGAACCUUAUGAAGAAUCUAAAACUUCCCAGAGAAUAUUCUCAACAUUUCAGGCAAUAAACAUAUUUCAUGUUGUCUAUAUCUCAGAAGGACAGAAAAGAUGGUAGCAUUUACUUAUUAUUUUGACAAAGAAAAAUUUAUACUAAAAUUAUUGUAAAAGGCCUAGACAGAGAGACAGACAUCAUGUGACAGUGAGCAGGAAGUUCAUGUGUGUCUUUACGUCCUUCAGUGUCUCACACACAGUGCAGCAAAGAACUGCUGAUCUGAUUCAACAUGGACAGAUGCUUUCUGCUCAUUGUGAUUAUGGGAACAGGUUUGGUGACUGGAGACAAUAUUGAGCCAGAUAAAGAGAAAAAUGUUACCACUAAAGAAACAGAAACUGUCAAGCUGAGCUGCUCAUAUAGUACAACCAGCAAUAAUGUUCGGCUUUACUGGUACAGACAAUAUCCACAUGCAGAACCUUUAUUUUUAACAUAUAGAGGAGCUCGAUCACUGAGUGCUGCAGACAGCUCUGAUGAUCGGUUUCAGUCGACUACAUCACGAACAUCCACUGAACUCACUAUUACUGAUGUACGUCUGUCAGAUUCAGCUCUCUAUUAUUGUGCUCUAAGAGUUUAAGCCCAGUGAUACAAAACAUGAAACACGUCGUACAAAAACCUGAAGCUCUUUUCACUUUAAACCGAUCUUGUGAAAACCACAAUCAAAACCACAAUCUAUCCAGCCCCAAAUGUAAUAAAAUAUGUGCUAACACCUGUGUGAAGAGAUUACAAGGCAUAAAAGACAAACAGAAACAUUAAAAGAUUAAAAGCAUAAAAACGUUAAAAGCAUAAAAAAAUAUUGUUUCAUUAAUUUCUGUGAACGCAACAUCAAAUUAACUUACAUUUAGUCAGCAAAUUCCUCUACUUUAAAUUAAAGUUAGGCCUGAUACUUUUAACCUUCAAAAUUAAACUUUUGAGAGUGUACAGUAAAUGUUGAAAAUUGUGUAUUUUACAAAAAAAGAUUAAAAUCCAAAAGUGAAAACCAGUUCUGCUUCAAGGGUUUUCUGUUUGUAUUUUAAUGUAAUUGCAGAAACUGGCCACACUGUGGCAGAAUUGAAGUCUAUUAUUCUAUCAAGCUCCUCCUACAUGUGUUUAACCUGUGCAAACAUAUAGUCACAUACAGUGAAAUCUAAACUCAGGCUGGCUCAUGUUCAUCAUCAUCAUAACUCACUAAUAUCACG